UUUACCCUACCCCUACGUAUAAAAAGAUAAUUUAGAAACCAGAAAAAGGGACCCCUUCACCGGAAAGAGAAAAACGGCGCCCAGCAGCUCCGUUCUGCUUCUUCUUCAUUUUUCUUCAACUCCCAAGCUGAAAUGAAGGACCCCCUCCUUCCUCUUCUCAUCUCACUAACACACACACACACACUCAUCUACACAUACUUAGAAACAUCUGAAAACAGAUUUUGAAAUUCAAAAAUUUCCUUUCUAAGAUCUGAAAUUUUCGGCUUCAAAAAAUAGAAAAAAAUUUGAUUUCGACACUCUAAAACAAUUAGUUUGUGUUUGUCGAUUCAAAGAGAUCUCCUACGUCGUUUCCUGGGUUUUCAAGCUGAAUCUAGUCCGUAAUUGGAGGAUGUAGAUGAGCUGUUUGCUUACUGACUUUGGAUGUGCUGGAAGCUGAGCUUCAUUAUACCUUUGCUUUGUGAUUUGUUACAUUUAAAUCUGUCAUAAACAAGGUAUUCUGUUUUUCUCUUCUCAUAAGUAUGUAAUUAUCAAUUUGUGAAUGCAAAAUAUGCUUUACUCAAGGUCUGUGAGCGUAGAUUAUGGUUCCUGAUUGUUUGUAUCGAAACACAUGGUUAUUGAUUAGUGCUUAUCUCAAUUUGAUGCUUAAAUUCUACUCAUAUGAGUAAUGUAUUUUCUGGAAAUUCAUGCUGAUUAGUACCUGCCAGACAAAUGGGAACGGGAAUAGGCAUGGAUAUAUGAGUUUGGAUUUGUUUCGAAUUUGUACUGCUAGUGAGAACCAGAAAUUUUAUUCUUGCGUGUUUGUGAGUUUAAAACUAGGAUCUGCAUUGAAAAAUGUGAAAUCCAGUGUGGUUGUAGUUCAAUUCUAGGACUUAAGGCAUCUGUUUAAUACAUACCUACUGUUCUAAAGAAACCAAAAAAAAAAGAGUUGAAGUCGCAUGUGGAUUUUGAUUGAAUUCUCGAAUUGUAGAGCAUUUGUCAAUUUCACAUUUUCGGAUUUUCAACAUUGUUGUAGGCAAGGUUGAAUAUUUUGCCUUGAUAUGCUUUCAAUGAAUAAUAGGGAAUUAGCUUUGUCAUGAUCCAUGUUUUACGUUAGUAUCACUUGCUCAGAGGUUUCGUGUUAAAUGUUUGCUGUCAUUAAUGGAAUGGUUCAUGGAUGUGGCUGAGUUGUAUGUUAAUUAUAUACCAUUGUGUGAGGUGAAUAGUCUACAAUAUGGAGUUCUACUGGUUAAUCUUUCAAAUUAUAUUUUCUUAUCUCACGUUGGGAUUCCCAUGAAAAUUAUAAUUGAUGCAUUUUGGUCUCUUUAUUGAACUUUGUUCGGGGUGAUUUCAUAACACCCUAGGUUUCGACUAUUGGAGUUAUUUCUUUCUGGGCAAGGAACAAGAAUGGGUUAUAAGGUGGGUCUUGAAGCAUAAGGAAUUUGGGCCAAGAAAUAGAUCAUAUUAGCUAGCCUAUUUACUCCCCAAUAAUAUCUUGUCCAUAAAUUCGGCAUCACAACAAUCUCAAAUUAGUUUAAGAGAUAAUUUACAUGAACAUCCGUAGUUUGCGUUAAGUUGAGGGCAAUCUGUUGAAAUUAGAAUCGAGGCAUGCUAUUUAGUUGAAUUUUCCAUGGCCCUCGCAAAUUUGAAAGUGCGUAGUUGCUUUAUGCGUGCUAUUUUAAUAAUUUACCUUCCUAAACUUGGGUGCGCAUUUAUGUGACCCAAAUCCAAAUCUCAACAAUGUUAGAUAAAAUGUGUUGCGGAUUGCGGGUGUAUUUAUGUGACGUGUUUCAAGACGCGUUUAUGUGACGUUGAAUUUUCCCUAAAAAAAUAUUUAAUUAAAAGCGGUUUUAAAGUUAAAAUGCACAUAGGCUAAAACAUGCAUUAAAAUCAGAUAAUAGGUCAAUUAUAACAGUUGAGCGACCGUGCUAGAACCACGGAACUCAGGAAUGCCUAACCCCUUCUCCCGGGUUAACAGAAUUCCUUACCCGGAUUUCUGUGUUCGCGGACUGUAAAACAGAGUCAAUCUUUUCCUCGAUUCGGGAUUUGAACCGGUGACUUGGGACACCAUAAAAUUAUCCCAAGUGGCGACUCUGAAUUUUUUUAAUAAAUAAAUCCCGUUUCGAUUGUCACUUUAAGUUGGAAAAAACUCCCUUAUAUACACUCUUCCGGGGGUGUAGACAAAAAGGAGGUAUGACAAUCAAUAGGGACUUUAUCGUAGGCUUACCUCGUACCCAACGUAAGUUCGAUUCGAUAUGGGUGAUUGUGGAUAGGCUUACAAAGUCAGCCCAUUUUCUGCCUGUUAGAACUACAUAUUUCUCAGAGGAUUAUGCGAGGCUUUAUAUCAAGGAGAUAGUAAGACUGCAUGGUGUCCCUGCAUCUAUUAUCUCGGAUAGAGGAGCUCAAUUUACAACUAAAUUUUGGAGGUCCUUCCAAAAGGGAUUGGGGACUCAUGUAAGUCUUAGUUUAACAUUUUAUCCCCAGACAGACGGACCGUCUGAGCGUACUAUUCAAACACUAGAGGAUAUGUUUUGAGCUUGUGUAAUAGACUUCAAAGGUAGCUAGGAUGAUCAUCUGCCGCUUAAUGAGUUCGCAAAUAAUAGUUACCAUUCUAGAUUCUGAUGGCUCCAUACAAAGCUCUUUAUGGACGGAAGUGUAGGUCGCCUAUAGGGUGGUUUGACGUUGGAGAAUCUGGAUUAUACGGGCCAGACCUGGUUCAUCAAGCCAUAGAAAAAGUAUAGUUGAUUCGGGGUCGACUAUUGACAGCUCAGAGUUGUCAGAAGUCAUAUUCUGACGUGCGGCGAUGAGACUUAGAGUUCGGGCUUGAUGAUUGGGUAUUCUUAAAGGUGUUGCCUAUGAAGGAUGAGAUGAGGUUUGGCAAGAAAGGAAAACUUAGCCCACAAUAUAUUGGGCCAAGUAGCUUAUGAGUUAGAAUUGCCCACGGAAUUGGAGUCUGUCCAUCUGGUUUUUCACGUAUCUAUGUUACGGAAGUGCAUUGGCGAUCUUACCCGAGUGGUGCCCACGAAUGAUGUACAUAUUACAAAAGACUUAUCAUACGAGGAAGUUCCGGUUGCCAUCCGAGACCAACAGAUCCGCAAGCUGUGGAAUAAGGAGGUAGCCUCCGUGAAAGAACUUUGGAGAAACAAAAAUAUGGAAGAAGUGACUUGGGAGGCCGAGGAAAAUAUGAAGUCUAGAUAUCCCUACUUAUUUCCUCCCCCAGAGAAGGGUCCGACUGAGACGUCAUAAUCAUAAGAUACGUGUAUAAAUUCUUGUGUUGGUUCUUGUCGUUCGUUAUGUUAGGCCAUUGUCGUUAUUCAUAAUUAUGAGCUUGUCUGUCGUUAGGUUAUUAAGCUUCUACGGGGAAAGUUGGUAGUGGUGUUGUUAUAGAGGCGACCUUGGCAAGGUUAUAUAGAUCACAGAGAGUUAAACAUUCGAGGACGAAUGUUUCUAGGGGGAGGGGGAGGAUGUUACAUCUCGCGUUUUCGUACGUUAAAAUUUUGUUUUCAGUUAACCGACGUAGACUCGGGGAUGAGAUCAUCUUGACGUUAACAUACUUACGCUAUUUAUAACGAGCGAUAAACAAGUGUUAUGAAGGAUAAAGGGGUACACGGAUUAAAGAAAACGAGUUUCAUUAAAAGUGGCCAAUUUAGAAUAAAAUAUGGGUCGAGCGAUAAUACUCGAUAAUUAUGAACUAGUACCUUGCAAUGUACCAUAUGACCACGAUAAUAUAAUGUAUAGAGUAUAUAUAUAGUAUAUUAAAAAUAAAUAGAAUUUUAAGUAAUUUGAGGCAAUUUUUUAAUUAUUAUUAUGCGAGUAAUUGAUUAAUUACCGGGUAACAAGACAUUACCUAAUUACCUAAUAAGUGGAUAAAAAUAAAAUAUCCCACCCCUACCCCACAUGGAAACUAGCCACAUUAUCAAGAAAUGACUAAGAGUCAUUCCUUGAUUAGGUGUCAAAUGGAUACAACUUUCCUUUCAUUUGUUUCAAGACUUUGGAUAUCCAAGUCUUUCCAAUUCAAUUCAUUUUGAAGGCUUGGCAUUUAAAAGACAUAGAACGUUUCUUUCUGACCUUAAAAACAAAGUCUCAUUUUCACUUCCAUUACAAAAUACAAAUAGUAGCAAGAUUAAGAUUUUGUUCAAUUUAUUCCAAGAAACGUGAAGGAUCAGUAGAUUACCGUUCUUGAUUUGGACAAUAGGGACUAGCGUCCCAAAAUCUAGACAAGCAGAAACAAUUUCGUCCCAAUUUUAUAGAAUCCAAGCAUCAAUUUCGUUCAAGUUCAAAUAAGCAGAAGCUUCAUUUUGUGCAAAUAAUUCAAGGAACAGGUACACUAAGGUCCUUCCUUUUUUCUUUUGACAUGGUCCAAACUAUACUGAAGAAACUAGCAAACACACCGUUUUCAUAAAUUAUUCGUUCAUAGAAAUAGUAGGGGUGUCUAUAUUCUUGAUUCCCCAUGAAAAUUAUUAUUAUCUUCUGUUUAUGAAAAAAGUUUAUCUAGAAGGAAUUGUGAGAUUAUUACAUAUUUUUCAUGCAUUUCACUUAUUUAUACAUGUGCAGUGACUCAUGAGCAGAUGGUGUUAUAUACACGUAUAUAUGUAAAUAUAUGUAUAUGGGUUAUAGGAAAAGGUUACGGUGUUAUAUACGUACCACCACCUAAUUAGCUGGUAUAUAUUGAUAAUGUUGCCCACAGUGGCCGAGACGAUAUGAUGGGAUGCCCUCAGUGGCUUGAUGAUAUUAUGUACACCCAUACCUAUGCAUAACACGAUAUUUAUAUGCACGUGCAUGACAUUAUAAACGUUUCAGAAUUUACAAAGUUAUUCAGAUUUAAAAAUGUGUUUCCUUAUUUCAUGUUUCAUCUAUGUCUUUUACGUACUAAUUUUCAUGCCUUACAUACUCAGUACAUUUUUCGUACUGACAUCGUAUUUCAUGGGGCCUGCGUUUCAUGCCCGCAGGUGCAGGUAGGCAAGCUGACAGUCCCCCUUCUUAGGAUCCCUGAUCAGUGAGAGUUGGCAUGCUCCACUUGAUCCGGGGCUGCUUUUGAUUUUGGUACGAUACAUUUGUAUGUGUAUAUAUAUAUGUAAGUGAGUAUGACAUGACUCAGUCCCGUCUUUGUACAACUAUGUUUCUAUUAGAGGUCUGUAGACAUUAUGUCUAGUUGGAUUGUAUGUGGCCUUGUCGGCUUUCAGUUUUCGAUGUAUAGUUGUCUAUAGCAGCCUUGCCGGCUCGCCCAUUGUAUUCUGCAUGUAUACGUACAUAUGCCUUGAUGGAAGGUUUCCUUUAUGUAUGUUAUUUUCGU
This 5269-nucleotide long non-coding RNA is filed under the name Nicotiana tabacum (common tobacco). RNAcentral describes it as "long non-coding RNA (NTAB_LNC000797)". Lineage: Eukaryota; Viridiplantae; Streptophyta; Magnoliopsida; Solanales; Solanaceae. The record is from RNAcentral.